GAUGAACGCUGGCGGCGUGCCUAAUACAUGCAAGUCGAGCGAACAGACGAGGAUCUUGCUCCUCUGACGUUAGCGGCGGACGGGUGAGUAACACGUGGAUAACCUACCUAUAAGACUGGGAUAACUUCGGGAAACCGGAGCUAAUACCGGUUAAGAUAUUGAACCGCAUGGUUCAAUAGUGAAAGACGGUUUUGCUGUCACUUAUAGAUGUAUCCGGGCCGCAUUAGCUAGUUGGUAGGGUAACGGCUUACCAAGGCAACGAUGCGUAGCCGACCUGAGAGGGUGAUCAGCCACACUGGAACUGAGACACGGUCCAGACUCCUACGGGAGGCAGCAGUGGGGAAUAUUGCACAAUGGGCGAAAGCCUGACGGAGCCACGCCGCGUGAGUGAUGAAGGUCUUCGGAUCGUAAAGCUCUGUUAGUAGGGAAGAACAACUGUAUAUGUAACUCUGCACGUCUUGACGUUACCUACACAGAAAGCAACGGCUAACUACGUG
This 497-nucleotide ribosomal RNA is filed under the name uncultured bacterium. RNAcentral describes it as "partial 16S ribosomal RNA". It matches the Rfam family "Bacterial small subunit ribosomal RNA", at positions 28 to 507 of the family's 1533-position model. The record is from RNAcentral.